UCGUUUUCUCUCUAAAUAGAACCCUAAAAUUGAAAAUAUCUCCCAAAUCUUUCGAAGCAUCCGAGUCUCUCGCUAUUGUUGUUCGGCGAAGCUAAGUUUGCUUAAUCUCUCAUCUAGUUUGGAGAUGGAUAGAAAGAAGGAAGAAGCUUUGGUCGCGGCCGAGGUCGAAACCGGCGGUUCUGAGGUUAUGAGGUCGACGGCAUCGGCUGUCGAGGAUGCGGAUGAUGAAGUUGACUACGAUGAUGAUUAUUAUGGUGAGAGUGACGGAGAGAGUGGCGAUCCUCUGUCAUCAGACGAAGAAGAAGACAAAGAAGAUUUGCUGGCUGAGAAGCAAUUCGUUAAGGCCCCCAUUGCAGUCUUUUGGGAUGUUCGGAGUUGUGGAAUCCCUGAAGAUUGUGAUGAUUUCUAGGGUCGUAACAAAUGUAAGAUUGGCUCUCAAUAAGAUGAAUUAUCUUGGUAUGAUCCGUUUCUUCGGUUUUGGGGAUUGUUAUCGUACGUACCCCUAGGAAAAUCAAUAACUCCAUUGCUCGCAGCGGAAUCACGUACCUACACGUAAUUGGAAACGGAGAUAAGUAUGCAGACUUUAGCAUUAUAACUGCGGAAAUGUUAUCCCGGGCACAAGAGUUUCCUUCCCCUACAAACUAUGUGUGCUAAUCUCGGGAGACAGUAACUUAUCUAUUACUCUUAAUCUAUUGAAGAAGAAAGGGCACAAUAUACUGCUAGCACAGCCUAAUGGAGAAGCAUCAGGGCCUCUAAUUAAGGAUGCAUCAUCUGUGUGGUUCUGGGAUACUCUCAUGCUUGGUGGGCGCCCUCUCAUCCCAAACCAUGCAACUUCGCAUACCACCUCUAGCCCCGCUCAGCCUGAUGACAACAUGGAAAUCGAAUCAUGAUUAUUAUUUUUCUUGUGUUCCGCAAACCAGAAAACCUGUCUUAGUUUCAGUAUUCUAAAUAACCUUUUGACCUGUUUUGAAAACUCGUAUCUAUGACUAUGUUUUAGCAUCUGUUC
Molecule: long non-coding RNA, 1006 nt
Organism: Brassica oleracea var. oleracea
Lineage: Eukaryota; Viridiplantae; Streptophyta; Magnoliopsida; Brassicales; Brassicaceae
Exons: 2
Source: RefSeq, a predicted model, not a curated record